RNAcentral lists this ribosomal RNA (393 nucleotides) under uncultured bacterium. RNAcentral's name for it is "partial 16S ribosomal RNA". It matches the Rfam family "Bacterial small subunit ribosomal RNA", at positions 523 to 918 of the family's 1533-position model. The record is from RNAcentral.
AUACGGAGGAUCCGAGCGUUAUCCGGAUUUAUUGGGUUUAAAGGGUGCGCAGGCGGGAGAUUAAGUCGGCGGUGAAAUUUUGCAGCUCAACUGUAAAAGGGCCUUCGAAACUGGUUUCCUUGAGUGUAGAUGAAGUAGGCGGAAUUUGUGGUGUAGCGGUGAAAUGCAUAGAUAUCACGAGGAAAUCCGAUUGCGCAGGCAGCUUACUAAACUACUACUGACGCUCAGGCACGAAGGCGUGGGGAUCAAACAGGAUUAGAUACCCUGGUAGUCCACGCAGUAAACGAUGAUUACUAGCUGUUUGCGAUACAAUGUAAGCGGCUGAGCGAAAGCGUUAAGUAAUCCACCUGGGGAGUACGUUCGCAAGAAUGAAACUCAAAUGAAUUGGCGGGG